Molecule: transfer RNA, 194 nt
Filed under: Hypera postica (alfalfa weevil)
Lineage: Eukaryota; Metazoa; Arthropoda; Insecta; Coleoptera; Curculionidae
Description: partial transfer RNA
Source: RNAcentral
AGAAUUUAAGUUAAUGAACUUGUAUAAGUAUAUACUUUGAAAGUAUAAAAAAGAAAUUUUAAUUUUCUAUUAACUUUAGUACUAAAUUUAAUCAGCUAAACAUUUAUUCUAAACAAAUAAACUCUCAAAGAAAAAUAAAAUAAUAAUAAAUUUAAAGAAACUGGCAAAUAACUUUUUCAAGCUAAAUAUAUUAA